AUUUUCAAAGAAUUAAAAGGUUUUCGUAUGGAAAACCGUUUUUAAAAAAUUUUCUGGCUUUUGAGACUUCUAGUAUUUUAAAAUAAAGUUUUUGGGUGGCAAUGCUUUCAACUGAUAGAUACAGAAUAUUUACGGGUUAUGUAAUGUAUAGUUGUGAUUGUAAUUUAUGAGUCGACGUGGUUUAUGAUUUAUAAUAUGUAUGACGCCGUGCAAGUACAGGAAAAACUCUGUCAGUGUGAACAGAGAAUUCUCUGUAUUUAUGGCAGGUUUGUCAUCCCUUUGUUCAAGAUUUCAAAAAGAAAAAUGCCCAUAUUUCAAUCGGCUUUGCAUGAAGAGACUCCGGGGGGUGACAAAAUGAGUGAACGGUAUCGAAAAAUAAUAAGUAGAGAAGCACUACUUCUCUUCUUGAGAUAAAAGUACAAUAAGAAUGUUUUUGUAUUAAUAAUAAUGGGAUGAAUGAACCCAAGGGGACAAUCCGAUUGGUUGGGGACGACACGUCAGCAAUAUAACUGAUACAUUCUAGACUGGCUGGUAUUUUUGAAUAUGUAUGAAUAUGUAUUUUAAACAAAUUAAAUAUGUUGAAUUUGUUUUUAUCAACAUUAAAUUUGUUAAAACAGUUAUAAAAAAUUCCACUUAUUUAAAUUUAAAUAUUAAAUAUUUAAAUUCAACAUCUUAAGAAAUAUUACUAUUUUUAAAAUUUUUAAAGUUUAA
Molecule: long non-coding RNA, 711 nt
Filed under: Ananas comosus (pineapple)
Lineage: Eukaryota; Viridiplantae; Streptophyta; Magnoliopsida; Poales; Bromeliaceae
Description: long non-coding RNA (ACOM_LNC011961)
Source: RNAcentral